CCGUCCUCGCCAGUGCCAGGUACAAUCUCGUCAUCUUAGGAGACGAGUCUGUCGGCAAAAGCAGUAUCAUCACUCACUUUAUGAACAACAAGUUCUGUAACAAAUACGAGAUCUUAUGAGGAAUAUGAGGACUCAAGUAUUGCUCAAACUGAUCAAGCCUUACACAAGAAUUCGGAUCCCUUUCAUAUCCAAGGUCAAAGGGGAUGAAGAAAUACACUGCCGUGGAUAAGUGGAACACACAGCUUAGGUCCCUCUAUCAGACUGUUCGUUUGUGGUGCGUAUUAAGGUUUGACGAGCUCUUGCACGAAUUAAGGGUUGGCUCUCCACUUGUGUGCCUGAUCUGGUUCCGUCUCAUGUAUUAAUGGGUAUACCAGUGAAUGGUGAAUCUAUGUCUUUAUCUCCUCUUGGUGAAGCUUGCUUGAGAUCGGACUUGACUGCCAUACAUGAAAUCUUAGAAAAACUUGGGUACAAAGAUGACGAAGGAGCAGCUGCCGAGGUUUGUCUCAUUACAAUUAUUUGAUUUAUUUUCAUAUCAUGCCCUGUUUGGAUAUAUGCUCUUCUGUCAGCUGGAGUCUAUUCCUAGCUUAAUUAUAGUGAAUAAUGGUGGCAUCAACUAAACGCAACCCAUCAAUGAAGUGCUGUUAGGAUAUCACUAUAACUAUGAAAUUAGUGGAGGGAAGAAAACAUGAGUAGUAAGUUCCAAUUAUCCCUGUAAUGAUAUGUGGAGUUUACAGGGAGUGCUCUGAGAGGUUUAGUAAAAGCUUUUUUGGGUACACUUCUUCAGGAAAGCAUUUUGUGGGUGUUAUUAAGUUGUCUCACCUGUAC
Ipomoea nil (Japanese morning glory) is the source of this 825-nucleotide RNA transcript. RefSeq lists it as uncharacterized. Lineage: Eukaryota; Viridiplantae; Streptophyta; Magnoliopsida; Solanales; Convolvulaceae. The record is from RefSeq and is a predicted model, not a curated record. The transcript is spliced from 5 exons.